AUUGAACGCUGGCGGAAUGCUUUACACAUGCAAGUCGAACGGCAGCAUAGGUGCUUGCACCUGAUGGCGAGUGGCGAACGGGUGAGUAAUACAUCGGAACGUGCCCAGUCGUGGGGGAUAACGUAGCGAAAGUUACGCUAAUACCGCAUACGAUCUAAGGAUGAAAGCGGGGGACCGUAAGGCCUCGCGCGAUUGGAGCGGCCGAUGUUAGAUUAGGUAGUUGGUGGGGUAAAGGCUCACCAAGCCGACGAUCUAUAGCUGGUCUGAGAGGAUGAUCAGCCACACUGGGACUGAGACACGGCCCAGACUCCUACGGGAGGCAGCAGUGGGGAAUUUUGGACAAUGGGCGCAAGCCUGAUCCAGCCAUUCCGCGUGCAGGACGAAGGCCUUCGGGUUGUAAACUGCUUUUGUACAGAACGAAAAGCCUUGGGUUAAUACCCUAGGGUCAUGACGGUACUGUAAGAAUAAGCACCGGCUAACUACGUG
This 486-nucleotide ribosomal RNA is filed under the name uncultured bacterium. Its description in RNAcentral is "bacterial SSU rRNA". It matches the Rfam family "Bacterial small subunit ribosomal RNA", at positions 30 to 507 of the family's 1533-position model. The record is from RNAcentral.